UACGUAGGGUGCGAGCGUUGUCCGGAAUUAUUGGGCGUAAAGCGUGCGCAGGCGGCGCGUUAAGACAGGUGUGAAAGCCCCGAGCUUAACUUGGGAAUUGCGCUUGUGACUGGCGUGCUGGAGUGUGGCAGAGGGAGGUGGAAUUCCACGUGUAGCAGUGAAAUGCGUAGAGAUGUGGAGGAACACCGAUGGCGAAGGCAGCCUCCUGGGCCAGCACUGACGCUCAUGCACGAAAGCGUGGGGAGCAAACAGG
This 253-nucleotide ribosomal RNA is filed under the name uncultured bacterium. RNAcentral describes it as "partial 16S ribosomal RNA". It matches the Rfam family "Bacterial small subunit ribosomal RNA", at positions 524 to 776 of the family's 1533-position model. The record is from RNAcentral.